This 434-nucleotide ribosomal RNA is filed under the name uncultured Clostridium sp. Its description in RNAcentral is "partial 16S ribosomal RNA". It matches the Rfam family "Bacterial small subunit ribosomal RNA", at positions 341 to 792 of the family's 1533-position model. The record is from RNAcentral. Lineage: Bacteria; Bacillati; Bacillota; Clostridia; Eubacteriales; Clostridiaceae.
ACGGGAGGCAGCAGUGGGGAAUAUUGGUCAAUAGGGGCAACCCUGAACCAGCGACGCCGCGUGAGUGAAGAAGUAUUUCGGUAUGUAAAGCUCUAUCAGCAGGGAAGAUAAUGACGGUACCUGACUAAGAAGCACCGGCUAAAUACGUGCCAGCAGCCGCGGUAAUACGUAUGGUGCAAGCGUUAUCCGGAUUUACUGGGUGUAAAGGGAGCGCAGACGGCAUGGCAAGCCAGAUGUGAAAGGUGGGGGCUCAACCCCCAAGCUGCAUUUGGAACUGUCAAGCUAGAGUAUCGGAGAGGUAAGUGGAAUUCCUAGUGUAGCGGUGAAAUGCGUAGAUAUUAGGAGGAACACCAGUGGCGAAGGCGGCUUACUGGACGAUAACUGACGUUGAGGCUCGAAAGCGUGGGGAGCAAACAGGAUUAGAUACCCUGGUA